GACGAACGCUGGCGGCGUGCUUAACACAUGCAAGUCGAGCGGUAAGGCCCUUUCGGGGUACGACGAGCGGCGAACGGGUGAGUAACACGUGGGUGACCUGCCUUCAGCUCUGGGAGUAAGCCUGGGAAACUGGGUCGUAAUAACCGGAUAUGACUCCAUGAUGCAUGUUGUGGGGUGGAAAGCUUUUGUCGGCUGGAGAUGGGCCCGCGGCCUAUCAGCUUGUUGGUGGGGUGANGGCCUACCAAGGCGACGACGGGUAGCCGGCCUGAGAGGGCGACCGGCCACACUGGGACUGAGACACGGCCCAGACUCCUACGGGAGGCAGCAGUGGGGAAUCUUGCGCAAUGGGCGAAAGCCUGACGCAGCGACGCCGCGUGAGGGAUGACGGCCU
This 391-nucleotide ribosomal RNA is filed under the name uncultured bacterium. RNAcentral's name for it is "bacterial SSU rRNA". It matches the Rfam family "Bacterial small subunit ribosomal RNA", at positions 28 to 417 of the family's 1533-position model. The record is from RNAcentral.